AUCGAGCGCCGGGCUUCAACGGCUCGGUGUUCCCUUCCCGGUCGUCGUUGCGCUAUGAACGCUGAGGAAGAUGCUAUCUGGGGUUAUCGGUCCGUCGGGAAACGGCGGCGACUUGCAAAUGCCACAGAAGCUGGUAAUAUGCCUCCUCGUGCUCAUGCGGGCGGGGACAAGUCAGCCCGGCGGGGUAGCCGGGUUAAAGGAGCCAAAUCACAGCGGCACUCCGAGAGGGUGCCUAUUGACCACUCGCCGAGAGGCGUGAGGGCAGCCUCUGUUCAGGAGAUGUCCUCGCCUGCAUCAAAUGCCAACAAGUCAUCUCCACCACAAGAUGCAGGCAGACCCCUGUCCCAGGUUGAAUUUCCCAAUGCCUCCGAGGGCAAACAAAUGCCCAAAGAGGCCAGGCCUGUCCAUGACGGCUACUGCCCAAUCUGUCAAAUGCCCUUUUCCUUAUUGCUGAUAGAAACACCCCGGUGGCAUGUUGCUGAGUGUUUGGAUACUCCGGGAUGCACAGAUAUUGAAUGCCCUGAUGGCUUGCUUUGCAACAAUACAAUUCCAAUACACUACAAACGAUAUUCCCAUUUGCUGCUUGCUGAAAGUAGAGCACUGGGCCAGAGUGUUGUUCAGUCUACAUUUUUGCAUAGUUCAGUAAGGGAUGCCUUCACAAUUUCACCAGAUCCUAACAAUAAUCAUCAGUCUUUACAGAACAAUCAAUCUCCUUGGAUUCAAGAACAUCUGACGAACAAAAAUCAAAAUGCCCUCCUACUGCUAAAAUCUCCUGCCUUCAAAGUUAAGGAGAAAAGCUCGAGUAAAUUCAAAGCAGCAAGCUCAGUAAAAAGAAGCACUUCUUCUGAAAAUGUUUCAAGAGGAGGUGUGUCUGCAGCACCACCCGGUAGCCUACACAGAAGAUUGCCUCAUUCAGCAUCACAAUUAACAAAGGAGAUGGAACCUGGAAUUAGUACGGAAGGAUUUUUUAAUGUAAACAGUACAAAAGUAAAGCUAAACAGUCUUCUAGAAGAUAAAUCUACUUCUGGUCUUGGUUCAAAUGCCAGUAAUAAUAACAAGGAUGAUAUCAGUUACUCUCCAUUUCGUUGUAAUGAAAUUCCAGAUCAAAAAAGGUUAUCUUCAACAAGGAGAAGAUUGUUUCAUGGUCAGACAAUUAAACAUGAUUGUAAACUUGAAGACAACAAUUGUUCUAGCUCUGUAGAGGUUAAUAACCAUAGGCAAGAAUUGGUUCAUAAAUCCUGUGGUCUAAAGGACACAAUCACAAUUGACUUUAAUACUGUUGCUAUUGAUCUAGAUUCCAGCCUAUUAACUGACAGUGCUACCAUUCUAACUAAAAAUAGAAUAGGUAUUGCAACACAAGCGCACCAAGCGAAAGCUUGUUAUGGGAUUCCAUUGGAUAAUGAGGAGAUGAAACAGAUGAGGAAUUGGUCACAAACUAAUUUACCAGAGUCAAACUUGAUUAAAUUGGAAUCAGUCCCCUUAAGUUCUGAUAGCUUACUGAAGCCUCUUCAAAUUAAACAAGAGCCAACCAGUUUACCAGAAUCUACCCAAGUUAAGCAAGAACCAACCAAAUCAUUCCAGCUUGCUCAAAGUUCUAUUGUGCAGGAGCUUCAUGAUUGCCUAGCAAGAAAAGAAGAGGAAGAUCAUUUUGGUUGUUCUGCAAAGACAGCGUUGCCUCAGUAUUCCUUAAUUUUGCCUUCAUUGAAUGUUGUAAAACAGCAUAGUUGCCAUUCUGAAGCUCUUAUUUCUUCAAAAAGCAUUGGACUUCAAAAGAGUGGAACAACAACUUUGGAAAUGGCAUCACCGGACUUCAUGGAUAGAGGUCCUAUAAAAAUCCCCAAAAGGAGAGAUUUAAAUAAAGAAUUAAAGCAAACUGAUAUUGGAGUUUUUUUUGGACUUCAACCCAAAAUCAAAGACGAACCAAAAUGUCCAAAAAACAUACCUCAAGGAAAAGCAAAUGAAUUGGUUUCUGAGCUUUCAUAUAAUGAAAGAAGGCAAAGACAAAGAAAGAGAAAAAUAGAAAACUCUGUAGGUGAUGAAACUUGCAUAGGCACUGUCGACAAACCUCAAAUGGAACUAAGUGAUGCACAAAGAGGAAGAACAAAAAGGCAAAGAACUGGAGUAAGCACACAUAAAAAAGCCAAGCAGUGUCCUUUUUACAAGAAGAUUCCAGGAACUAAUUUCACAGUGGAUGCCUUCCAAUAUGGUGAUAUUCAGGGUUGUACUGCCUACUUCCUGACUCACUUUCACUCGGAUCAUUAUGGAGGCCUUACCAAGAAUUUCAAAUGUCCUAUUUACUGCAGCACGAUAACAAGCAAUUUGGUGAUAUCUAAGCUUAAAGUGCAGGCACAGUAUGUCACAAGCCUGCCUAUGAAUACUGAAUGUGUUGUGGAUGGAAUUAAGGUAGUCCUUUUGGAUGCAAACCACUGUCCAGGUGCUGUUAUGUUGUUAUUCCAGCUUCCAAAUGGUAAAACACUGUUGCAUACUGGUGAUUUUCGAGCUAAUACUUCCAUGGAGCGUUACACUCAUCUCAUGGGGCAAAAGAUUGACACUCUUUAUCUGGAUACCACAUACUGCAGUCCAGAAUACACGUUUCCUUCACAGCAAGAAACCAUCCAGUUUGUUGCUAAUGUUGCCUUUGAAACUAUAAUGAUGCAUCCCAGGACAUUGAUCGUCUGUGGUACUUAUUCUAUUGGAAAAGAGAGAGUUUUCCUAGCUAUAGCUGAGGUACUUGGAUGUAAAGUUUGUAUUACUCGAAAUAAACUCGAAAUUCUACAGUGUUUGGAUUCUGACCGAAUAAACUCUACCAUCACUAUGGACUGGGAAAACUCUCAACUUCAUUUACUACCUAUGAUGCAAGUUACCUUUAAGGGUUUGCAAGCACACAUGAACAAGUUCCCAGGAAAGUAUGAUCAAAUUGUAGCAUUCAAACCAACUGGAUGGGCACACUCAGGCCUGGGUGGUACAAUGCAUAACAUCAGGCCUCGAGUUCAAGGAAAGUUCACAAUUUAUGCUUUUCGUCUUCGAAUUUCAGGUGAAGUAAAGUCUCUGUGACGUGGUUUUCUAACCUUGGAUGGCAUGGGAGAAAUCUGGAAACAACAUGCUUUGAGAAUCAAGACUGCCUUAUAAUGAAAUGCUUCUAGAAGCAUAGUGGGGUAAUCAAAACUGAUUGCAAGACUUCAGAUGGGGUCCAACCAAGGUUCUGUGUAAUGGAAGCAUGGCGGACUUCGGAGUAAAGGCACCGAAGAGAUUCUUAUCGUUCAAUGUGCUAAGCAUGCUGGGAGGAUAAGAGCUGACAGAGUGUGUGAAAAAAGGAAGCAAGCUGGAGCCAAAUAAUGAAAUGCAAUGUGACCCUGUCCUUGAAAUUAUCAUUCUUCUGAAUACGAGCAGUGUGCAAUGUUAACAUAUUUUCCAGAACAGUUAUAUUUAUUCAGGUAUAUGGCCAAGGAUAUUCAUAAUAGGUUGGAUUCUUCAGUGAGUGGACAAGAAUUGCCUUACAUGUUGAAGUAAUAGCAUACUUUGUGUAAAAAUCUGUUCUGUUAGAGAGAGAGAAAAAAUUUGUUCCUCAUUUUAUCAAGGUUUCAGAAUAGUGGUUUCUGACCAUCUAUCUGUAGUUGCAGAAGUAGAACAGGAGAACUGGUCUGAAAAAAAGGAGCAACGGUAUCAGACGGAGAAAACUUCACUCUCCUCUGGAUCUUUAAACUUGUCACUGACUCUUUUCAGAUAAUAAGAUCUCGGAUGGGUGAUCCCUUACUCUGAGAGUAUGCCCAUUGGACCCAGCUUGCCUCACAAAAGGAAACAAUCUCUAUGCAUCUCAGAGAUAGCAAGAACUGCAGAUGCUAGCGUCAGAGACAACACAGUGUGGAGCUGGAGGAACACCACAGGUCAGGCAACAUCAGAGGAAUAGGAAAGUUGACAUUUCGGAAGAAGGAUCCCCACCUAAAAUCUCUAAGCAUCUACCAUGUUAAGCCCACUAUGAUUUGCACAUGUUUCAAUAAGGCCGUCCUUCUUUCUUCUAAAUUCCAAUGUGUACAGGCCCAAUCAACUCAACCUCUCCUCAUAAGAAAAUCCCCCCAUACCUGGAGCAGCCUAGUGAAUCUUCUCUGGACUGUCUUCAAUGCCAGUAUGUCUUUCAUUAGAGAGGGGGAUACUUAACCCCCAUUCAGGUGCCUCCUCCUCACAUGGAGAUGGGGCUGGGAAUUGGCAGGAUAUAGCCAGACAGAGGAAGGGCCACACACUGACCCCUUGGCAGUUUUCACUUGGGACAUUGUAGAGAUGGCUGGGCCUUUCACCCCCACUCUGUCUGCCACCAACCCAUUGGAAAUUCAUGCCAAAGUGGGUUCACACGUCUCUGGCUAGAAGACCUUUGGCUAGACAAAAGAUUCCUGGGGUCACCCAAGUCUGCAGGCUUCCUCCAUCCAGCUGUAGAACCAGGGAGUGCACUUAGAGGUAGUGGGAGGGAGAGAAAGAGGAAAAUGUAUUGGAGGGCAUUUUGGUGGCACAUGUGAAGAAGACUAUCUCGUUGUUUGAGCUUUGUACAUGAAUGCACUCUUGAGGGCUUGACAGGGCAGCUGUGGCCAUGACAAGAGGUCAUAACCUUGGAGUAAGAGGCUACCCAUUUAAGACAGUGAUGAGGAGGAUUUUUUUUUCUCUACAAAGGUAGUAAAUCUGUGGAUUUUUUUUACCACAGAGAGUUAUUGAGGCUGGCUCGUUAAGCAUGUUCAAGAUUGAGAUAGACUGAUUUUUAAUCAGUUAGUCAAUCAAGGGCUAUGGGGAAAAGGCAGGAAAGUGGAGUUGAGGAUUAUCAGAACAGCCAUGACCUCAUUAAAUGGCAGAGCAGACUUGGAGGGCCGAAUGGCCUACUCCUGCUCCUAAGUCUUACAGUGUUAGGUCCAGCCAGUGUCACUUCACAGUCUAUAUCUGCUGGCCUCAAACAAAGCGUGUAGUGAAUUUGCUUUUAAUUCUGGUGUUAUGAAAAAUGUUCUGCAUACAAUAAAAUGUGUGAGCUCUCACAUAAUUUGAUUUAAAUUACCAGAGAACACACAUUGGUGUACUAUAAAGAAAGUAAAUAUAUCUAUCCUCAUCUGAGUAGCCUGUAAUAGCUGAUACUAUCUCUUCCUUAGUAAUUCUCAGCUGGGUUUAGGAUAAAAAAACAAGAUUAACACAGAGUGGAAGUGCCAAUGUAAUUGUUGCUUCUAAAAAUAGUUGUCCAAAGCAUUUGUUUUCCUUUUGAGCAAGAAUCGGUUUCUGUGCUCAAUGGGCUUUUCAGUCCUUUAUCAAAUCUGUUACUUCUUGACCUGUACUUGUGCUAAAUUAUUGAAAAUUAUGAGAUGUGCCCUUAGGGUGACCUUUGUCAUUCUAUGACUUAUUGGUUGAUGUGAAGUUGUCGUCUUCAUGUUAAUUAGCUCCCUGAAGCUAAUUUUCUUUUCAUAGUAGGGUGACAUUUGCAAAAUAUAAUCAUUC
Stegostoma tigrinum is the source of this 5463-nucleotide RNA transcript. It is a transcript of the gene named DNA cross-link repair 1A (PSO2 homolog, S. cerevisiae), with no coding region annotated. NCBI's taxonomy places the organism in Eukaryota, Metazoa, Chordata, Chondrichthyes, Orectolobiformes, Stegostomatidae. The transcript is spliced from 11 exons. The record is from RefSeq and is a predicted model, not a curated record.